RNAcentral lists this ribosomal RNA (460 nucleotides) under uncultured bacterium. Its description in RNAcentral is "partial 16S ribosomal RNA". It matches the Rfam family "Bacterial small subunit ribosomal RNA", at positions 338 to 795 of the family's 1533-position model. The record is from RNAcentral.
CCUACGGGAGGCUGCAGUGAGGAAUAUUGGUCAAUGGACGCAAGUCUGAACCAGCCAUGCCGCGUGCAGGAAGACGGCUCUAUGAGUUUUAAAUUGCUUUUGUACGAGGGUAAACGCAGAUACGUGUAUCUGUCUGAAAGUAUCGUACGAAUAAGGCACGGCCAACUCCGUGUCAGCAGCCGCGGUAAUACGGAGGAUUCGAGCGUUAUGCGGAUUUAUUGGGGUUAAAGGGUGCGUAGGCGGUUUGAUAAGUUAGAGGUGAAAUCCCGAGGCUCAACUUCAGAAUUGCAUCUGAUACUGGUCGUCUAGAGAAUAGUAGUGGUAGGCGGAAUGUGUGGUGUAGCGGUGAAAUGCUUAGAGAUCAUGAAGAACACCGAUUGCGAAGGCAGCUUACCAGGCUACUACUGACGUUGAGGCACGAAAGCGUGGGUAGCAAACAGGAUUAGAUACCCGGGUAGUC